RNAcentral lists this transfer RNA (85 nucleotides) under Candidatus Saccharimonadota bacterium. RNAcentral's name for it is "tRNA-Leu". It matches the Rfam family "tRNA". Rfam says of the family: Transfer RNA (tRNA) molecules are approximately 80 nucleotides in length. Their secondary structure includes four short double-helical elements and three loops (D, anti-codon, and T loops). Further hydrogen bonds mediate the characteristic L-shaped molecular structure. tRNAs have two regions of fundamental functional importance: the anti-codon, which is responsible for specific mRNA codon recognition, and the 3' end, to which the tRNAs corresponding amino acid is attached (by aminoacyl-tRNA synthetases). tRNAs cope with the degeneracy of the genetic code in two manners: having more than one tRNA (with a specific anti-codon) for a particular amino acid; and 'wobble' base-pairing, i.e. permitting non-standard base-pairing at the 3rd anti-codon position. The record is from RNAcentral. Lineage: Bacteria; Candidatus Saccharimonadota.
GCGGAUGUGGUGGAAUUGGUAGACACGCUGGUUUUAGGAGCCAGUGCCGCAAGGCGUGAAGGUUCAAGUCCUUUCAUCCGCACCA